This 436-nucleotide ribosomal RNA is filed under the name uncultured bacterium. RNAcentral's name for it is "bacterial SSU rRNA". It matches the Rfam family "Bacterial small subunit ribosomal RNA", at positions 9 to 444 of the family's 1533-position model. The record is from RNAcentral.
GAGUUUGAUCGUGGCUCAGAUUGAACGCUGGCGGCAGGCCUAACACAUGCAAGUCGGGCGGUAGAGAGAAGCUUGCUUCUCUUGAGAGCGGCGGACGGGUGAGUAAUGCCUAGGAAUCUGCCUGGUAGUGGGGGAUAACGCUCGGAAACGGACGCUAAUACCGCAUACGUCCUACGGGAGAAAGCAGGGGACCCUUCGGGCCUUGCGCUAUCAGAUGAGCCUAGGUCGGAUUAGCUAGUUGGUGAGGUAAUGGCUCACCAACGGCGACGAUACCGUAACUGGUCUGAGAGGAUGAUCAGUCACACUGGAACUGAGACACGGUCCAGACUCCUACGGGAGGCAGCAGUGGGGAAUAUUGGACAAUGGGCGAAAGCCUGAUCCAGCCAUGCCGCGUGUGUGAAGAAGGUCUUCGGAUUGUAAAGCACUUUAAGUUGGG